This 97-nucleotide microRNA precursor is filed under the name Equus caballus (horse). RNAcentral's name for it is "mir-9058 microRNA precursor family". It matches the Rfam family "mir-9058 microRNA precursor family". The record is from Rfam by way of RNAcentral. Lineage: Eukaryota; Metazoa; Chordata; Mammalia; Perissodactyla; Equidae.
GUGGCUGCCGGAUGGGUGCUCUCUACUAGUGCUGUGCAGAGACUUUCGCUGAGGUUGCUGUGAGCCUGUAGGGUUUACCCCUAGGCUACAGAGCCUG